AGUGUCAGAAACAGGCAGCCUGACUAGAGAACAAACUACCAAUUAACGAGCGAGGAAACAGGGCCAGAGAAUUGGAACAAAAUACAAGGCUGCCUCUGAAAGGAAUAUCUUUGUGCUGAUGUGUCCAUCAAGAGAACAUACACAGAAGUGACACUUGCCAGUAAUUUGCAAGCAGAUGGAACUUCAAUAUGGCAAUAGAGAAAGAAUCAAUUAGACCAGAGUCUCCUCAGGAAGACUUUCUAUAGCGUAAUUAUCUCUCCAAUUAAAGAGCAACCAAGGGACAACUGAACUGGAGGUUCUGCAGAAUUACAACUAAGCACGCAGCCGAGGAAUCUACUCAGCUUUGAUCUCUUAUCGCUCUGCACACACAGCCCUUUCUCUGUAAGGCUAGCUGCUCUCAGCAUCACUGUGUCUAAUCAAACGUGUCACACCUCCACUGAGAAAAUAUUUACUGGAUAGCUACUAGACAUAAGGAUGCAGAAAUGAAUUAGAAAAAUUCCUCGCCCUUGUUCAAAGCUAUGCUGGCUCUUAGAACAUCUGAGCCCCCACUGUUUCAUCUUUAGAGGAUCCCAGCUGCUGGGGUGUGAGGCCAGUGCUGGAGCCAGCAGUCUCUGACCCAGAAGGGACCUGAGGUGCUAAAGAAAAGGGUACAAGCUGGAAAAGGGGAAAAUGAAUCAUGCUACAGGCCAAGUGUCCAUCACUGAUUCCCAGAGAUGCCCUUUGUGUGGUAGGCACUUCCAUGUGGACUCGCUACAGAGGUCAUAAGACCCUAAUUCCAGAGGGCCCUACCCUAUAACCAGAAGGAAGAACUAUUGCACAGAGAAUCUAAGAAGAAUCUAGACAGACAGCCCUUGCUGGAUUUCUCCACUCUGUUAGCAUUCGAUCAUUUGCCUUUUGUCCAGUCAUAUUUCUGCAUGGCUGUCCAUACUUUGUUGAACCUAAGCACAAAAUGGAAAGUUUUCCCUGUAUCUUUGGGUCGUCAUUCUGAAGGCUCCCAUGUUAUGUAAAACUAUGAUCAAAUAAAUAUGCAUGCCUUUUCUCCUAU
This 1045-nucleotide long non-coding RNA is filed under the name Homo sapiens (human). RNAcentral describes it as "long intergenic non-protein coding RNA 1643". The record is from RNAcentral. Lineage: Eukaryota; Metazoa; Chordata; Mammalia; Primates; Hominidae.